UACGUAGGGGGCUAGCGUUGUCCGGAUUUAUUGGGCGUAAAGAGCGUGUAGGCGGCCAUGUAGGUCCGGUGUGAAAACUCGAGGCUUAACCUCGAGAUGUCAUCGGAAACCAUUUGGCUAGAGUCCGGAAGAGGAGAGUGGAAUUCCUGGUGUAGCGGUGAAAUGCGCAGAUAUCAGGAAGGACACCAAUGGCGAAAGCAGCUCUCUGGGACGGUACUGACGCUGAGACGCGAAAGCGUGGGGAGCGAACAGG
This 253-nucleotide ribosomal RNA is filed under the name uncultured bacterium. RNAcentral's name for it is "partial 16S ribosomal RNA". It matches the Rfam family "Bacterial small subunit ribosomal RNA", at positions 524 to 776 of the family's 1533-position model. The record is from RNAcentral.